CGCACGAUUGAAACGGAACCAUUCCAUGAUGCCGACUUCUGUUUCUCCAACUUAUAGUCGGUCCUUAACUUCAAAUCUUCCGCCUGCUAUAAAAAAUACAACAAAACAUACGAUUUCAGCAAAUAUGGCUAUUCACAGUGAUUUAAUCAAACAAGUUCAAAGUUCGGUUUGUUCGUCUGUGGGGAGUACCAGAUCCUUACCAUUCCAACAUUAUUUUCUCGAUUGAAUUGGUUCUACAAGAUGAAAAGGACCAAGAGCCGCUACAUUUUGGGGCAAAUUAUUGAUCAAAUUGUACCUCAUCUGCCAAGCUAUUACAGCAAGCCUAUCGUUGUUGUUAUGCAGCUUAUUCACAUAAAUUGCAAGAUUUAUAUUCGGUGCGCAAUACUUGAAAUGUAUCAAAGUUUUGGAUUAAUCCAAAUUUUCCUCAAUCUGACGAUUUAAGAAAUGGUUUAAUAAAAAAAUCUUGCAUGAAUACUCAAUUCUAUUUUUUCAACCUAACUGUUUUACACUUUGUUAAAUUCAGAUUACUUUAUGUUCGGGAUAGUUUCUCUGAGAGGCUGACUCAAACCAUCUCUCAGCAAAGUUUUUGUCUUUGAUUAGUUAGCUAAGGGCGUUGUUCAAGUUAAAAUAAUUGGUGAAUUAAUGGAAUCGAUGUAAGUGAGUGAACUA
Molecule: long non-coding RNA, 669 nt
Organism: Nicotiana attenuata
Lineage: Eukaryota; Viridiplantae; Streptophyta; Magnoliopsida; Solanales; Solanaceae
Exons: 3
Source: RefSeq, a predicted model, not a curated record